This 484-nucleotide ribosomal RNA is filed under the name uncultured bacterium. RNAcentral's name for it is "partial 16S ribosomal RNA". It matches the Rfam family "Bacterial small subunit ribosomal RNA", at positions 30 to 507 of the family's 1533-position model. The record is from RNAcentral.
AUUGAACGCUGGCGGCAGGCCUAACACAUGCAAGUCGAGCGGAUGAAGGGAGCUUGCUCCUGGAUUCAGCGGCGGACGGGUGAGUAAUGCCUAGGAAUCUGCCUGGUAGUGGGGGAUAACGUCCGGAAACGGGCGCUAAUACCGCAUCCGUCCUGAGGGAGAAAGUGGGGGAUCUUCGGACCUCACGCUAUCAGAUGAGCCUAGGUCGGAUUAGCUAGUUGGUGGGGUAAAGGCCUACCAAGGCGACGAUCCGUAACUGGUCUGAGAGGAUGAUCAGUCACACUGGAACUGAGACACGGUCCAGACUCCUACGGGAGGCAGCAGUGGGGAAUAUUGGACAAUGGGCGAAAGCCUGAUCCAGCCGUGCCGCGUGUGUGAAGAAGGUCUUCGGAUUGUAAAGCACUUUAAGUUGGGAGGAAGGGCAGUAAGUUAAUACCUUGCUGUAUUGACGUUACCAACAGAAUAAGCACCGGCUAACUUCGUG